This 238-nucleotide long non-coding RNA is filed under the name Marmota monax (woodchuck). The record is from RNAcentral. Lineage: Eukaryota; Metazoa; Chordata; Mammalia; Rodentia; Sciuridae.
CGCAGGCGCAGAGCACGCCUCGGUUGUCAAACAUGGCUGAAGUGCUGCCGCUGCCGCUGCUGCCGCUGCAGGGAAAAUGCUGAGCCCUCCCGGGCCGGGUGGGCGGCGGCGGCGAGGGCGGCGACGGGGAUCCGCUUCCCGGGCGCGGCGGCGGCGGCCAUGGCCCGGCUGGCUGACUACUUCAUUGUGGUAGGCUACGACCACGAGAAGCCAGGUAAGGGUGUGGGGCGGGCGCCGC